This is a small nuclear RNA of Thamnophis elegans (Western terrestrial garter snake), 103 nucleotides long. Lineage: Eukaryota; Metazoa; Chordata; Lepidosauria; Squamata; Natricidae. The record is from RefSeq and is a predicted model, not a curated record.
UUGCUUUGGCAGCACCUAUAUUAAAAUUGGAACGAUACAGAGAAGAUUAGCAUGGCUUCUGCACAAAGAUGACACCCAAAUUCGUGAAGCAUUCCAUAUUUUU